GUCCACGCCGUAAACGAUGGGUGCUAGGUGUGGGGGGUGUCGACUCCCUCCGUGCCGAAGCUAACGCAUUAAGCACCCCGCCUGGGGAGUACGGCCGCAAGGCUAAAACUCAAAGGAAUUGACGGGGGCCCGCACAAGCAGCGGAGCAUGUGGUUUAAUUCGACGCAACGCGAAGAACCUUACCAAGGCUUGACAUGCACUUGAAAAGCGUGGAAACACGCUCCCUCUUCGGAGCAAGUGCACAGGUGGUGCAUGGCUGUCGU
This 263-nucleotide ribosomal RNA is filed under the name uncultured bacterium. RNAcentral's name for it is "partial 16S ribosomal RNA". It matches the Rfam family "Bacterial small subunit ribosomal RNA", at positions 793 to 1055 of the family's 1533-position model. The record is from RNAcentral.